RNAcentral lists this ribosomal RNA (1085 nucleotides) under Psychromonas sp. Y2B. RNAcentral describes it as "bacterial SSU rRNA". It matches the Rfam family "Bacterial small subunit ribosomal RNA", at positions 165 to 1243 of the family's 1533-position model. The record is from RNAcentral. Lineage: Bacteria; Pseudomonadati; Pseudomonadota; Gammaproteobacteria; Alteromonadales; Psychromonadaceae.
AAUACCGCAUAAUGUCUACGGACCAAAGGUGGCCUCUAUUUAUAUGCUAUCGCCUUUCGAUGAGCCCAAGUGGGAUUAGCUAGUUGGUAAGGUAAUGGCUUACCAAGGCUUCGAUCCCUAGCUGGUCUUAGAGGAUGACCAGCCACACUGGAACUGAGACACGGUCCAGACUCCUACGGGAGGCAGCAGUGGGGAAUAUUGCACAAUGGAGGAAACUCUGAUGCAGCCAUGCCGCGUGUGUGAAGAAGGCUUUCGGGUUGUAAAGCACUUUCAGCGAGGAGGAAAGGGUGMWGGUUAAUAUCCWKUAUCUGUGACGUUACUCGCAGAAGAAGCACCGGCUAACUCCGUGCCAGCAGCCGCGGUAAUACGGAGGGUGCGAGCGUUAAUCGGAAUUACUGGGCGUAAAGCGCGCGUAGGUGGUUAAUUAAGUCAGAUGUGAAAGCCCAGGGCUCAACCUUGGAACUGCAUUUGAAACUGGUUAACUAGAGUUUUGUAGAGGGUGGUAGAAUUUCAGGUGUAGCGGUGAAAUGCGUAGAGAUCUGAAGGAAUACCAGUGGCGAAGGCGGCCACCUGGACAAAGACUGACACUGAGGCGCGAAGGCGUGGGGAGCAAACGGGAUUAGAUACCCCGGUAGUCCACGCAGUAAACGAUGUCUAUUAGAAGUUUGUGGCUAUAUGCCGUGGGUUUCAAAGCUAACGCAUUAAAUAGACCGCCUGGGGAGUACGGCCGCAAGGUUAAAACUCAAAUGAAUUGACGGGGGCCCGCACAAGCGGUGGAGCAUGUGGUUUAAUUCGAUGCAACGCGAAGAACCUUACCAUCCCUUGACAUCCAGAGAAUCWSYUAGAGAUAGWWGAGUGCCUUCGGGAACUCUGAGACAGGUGCUGCAUGGCUGUCGUCAGCUCGUGUUGUGAAAUGUUGGGUUAAGUCCCGCAACGAGCGCAACCCUUAUCCUUAGUUGCCAGCACGUAAUGGUGGGAACUCUAGGGAGACUGCCGGUGAUAAACCGGAGGAAGGUGGGGACGACGUCAAGUCAUCAUGGCCCUUACGGGAUGGGCUACACACGUGCUACAAUGGCAAAUACAAA